Molecule: ribosomal RNA, 497 nt
Filed under: uncultured bacterium
Lineage: Bacteria
Description: partial 16S ribosomal RNA
Rfam family: Bacterial small subunit ribosomal RNA
Source: RNAcentral
GAUGAACGCUGGCGGCGUGCCUAAUACAUGCAAGUCGAGCGAACAGACGAGGAGCUUGCUCCCCUGACGUUAGCGGCGCACGGGGGAGUAACACGUGGAUAACCCUCCUUUAAGACUGGGAUAAAUUCGGGAAAACGUAGCUAAUUACGGAUAACAUGCUGCACCGCAUGGUUCAACAGUGAAAGACGGUCUUCCUGUCACUUAUACAUGGAUCCGCGCCGCAUUAGCUAGUUGGUAAGGUGACGGCUUACCAAGGCAACGAUGCGUAGCCGACCUGAGAGGGUGAUCGGCCACACUGGAACUGAGACACGGUCCAGACUCCUACGGGAGGCAGCAGUAGGGAAUAUUGCGCAAUGGGCGAAAGCCUGACGGAGCAACGCCGCGUGAGUGAUGAAGGUCUUCGGAUCGUAAAGCUCUGUUAUUAGGGAAGAACAAAUGUGUAAGUAACUAUGCACGUCUUGACGGUACCUAAUCAGAAAGCCACGGCUAACUACGUG